UUGGAGGGAGAGAGAUAGAAAAUAGAAAGGCAGAGGAAUGGGCUAGCCAGUUACAGUGCUGGUCUCUGUAUCUCUUAAACUGCUUUGCAUGUAAAGGAAGAUCUGUUAGUCUCAUCUGCAAGAAACACUUCUUGAAGGAUCUGUGUGGCAUGUGGGGUGGCUUAGGGAACCGCACAUCACCUGGUGGGAUUGGACUCAUAAGAAGUUUAUGCAACACUAAAACUGGAAGAGAAAGUAUAGCAAAUGUGGAACAAGUGAUAUUGAGUCUCUGCAAAACUUCAAGGUCAUCUGAUGAUUGGCAGUACAUGGCCAUAGAUUCUCUUCUCUUACUGCUUAAAGACAC
RNAcentral lists this unclassified non-coding RNA (343 nucleotides) under Hevea brasiliensis (rubber tree). Lineage: Eukaryota; Viridiplantae; Streptophyta; Magnoliopsida; Malpighiales; Euphorbiaceae. The record is from RNAcentral.